AGGAAUUUCAAGAUUCGAGAGAAGGAGAAAGAGAAGGAGGGGAAAAUAUGGAGAAGGAGAGGAAGAGGAAGAGAAAGAGUUGGAGAGAAGGAAAAAGAGAGAAAAUAAGAGUCCAAAAGUUUGAGAAUUAAAAUUUUGGGUCCCGAGAAAUUGUAGCGUGAAGGGUUAAAUCAAGACAACUUUGAGGAGCAUAUCAAGAAUCAAGCAUAGCAAGCACAUAGGCGGGGUUAGAGAGAGCAAUUUAAAAUAAAUACUAGUAUAGUACCAGCUGGAAAUGUUUUUAUGCUUUGGAAUUUUUAAGAAUGUUAAUUUUUUAUGUUGGAGAUACUCAUGUAAUGCAGUUAUUUAGCACUCUGGAAUAAAAGUUGAUGAGGUUUUAUU
Molecule: long non-coding RNA, 381 nt
Organism: Malania oleifera
Lineage: Eukaryota; Viridiplantae; Streptophyta; Magnoliopsida; Santalales; Ximeniaceae
Exons: 2
Source: RefSeq, a predicted model, not a curated record